Molecule: ribosomal RNA, 492 nt
Filed under: uncultured bacterium
Lineage: Bacteria
Description: partial 16S ribosomal RNA
Rfam family: Bacterial small subunit ribosomal RNA
Source: RNAcentral
AGUGAACGCUGGCGGUAGGCCUAACACAUGCAAGUCGAACGGCAGCACAGUAAGAGCUUGCUCUUACGGGUGGCGAGUGGCGGACGGGUGAGGAAUACAUCGGACUCUACUUUUUCGUGGGGGUUAACGUAGGGAAACUUACGCUAAUACAGCAUACGACCUACGGGUGAAAGCAGGGGAUCUUCGGACCUUGCGCGAUUGAAUGAGCCGAUGUCGGAUUAGCUAGUUGGCGGGGUAAAGGCCCACCAAGGCGCCGAUACGUAGCUGGUCUGAGAGGAUGAUCGGCCACACUGGAACUGAGACACGGUCCAGACGCCUACGGGAGGCAGCAGUGGGGAAUAUUGGACAAUGGGCGCAAGCCUGAUCCAGCCAGACCGCGUGUGUGAAGAAGGCCUUCGGUUUGUAAAGCCCUUUUGUUGGGAAAGAAAAGCAGCAGGUUAAUACCCCGCUGUUCUGACGGUACCCAAAGAAUAAGCACCGGCUAACUUCGUG